GGGUUGUGAGGUUAAGCGACUAAGCGUACACGGUGGAUGCCCUGGCAGUCAGAGGCGAUGAAGGACGUGCUAAUCUGCGAUAAGCGUCGGUAAGGUGAUAUGAACCGUUAUAACCGGCGAUUUCCGAAUGGGGAAACCCAGUGUGAUUCGUCACACUAUCAUUAACUGAAUCCAUAGGUUAAUGAGGCGAACCGGGGGAACUGAAACAUCUAAGUACCCCGAGGAAAAGAAAUCAACCGAGAUUCCCCCAGUAGCGGCGAGCGAACGGGGAGCAGCCCAGAGCCUGAAUCAGUGUGUGUGUUAGUGGAAGCGUCUGGAAAGGCGCGCGAUACAGGGUGACAGCCCCGUACACAAAAAUGCACAUGCUGUGAGCUCGAUGAGUAGGGCGGGACACGUGGUAUCCUGUCUGAAUAUGGGGGGACCAUCCUCCAAGGCUAAAUACUCCUGACUGACCGAUAGUGAACCAGUACCGUGAGGGAAAGGCGAAAAGAACCCCGGCGAGGGGAGUGAAAAAGAACCUGAAACCGUGUACGUACAAGCAGUGGGAGCACGCUUAGGCGUGUGACUGCGUACCUUUUGUAUAAUGGGUCAGCGACUUAUAUUCUGUAGCAAGGUUAACCGAAUAGGGGAGCCGAAGGGAAACCGAGUCUUAACUGGGCGUUAAGUUGCAGGGUAUAGACCCGAAACCCGGUGAUCUAGCCAUGGGCAGGUUGAAGGUUGGGUAACACUAACUGGAGGACCGAACCGACUAAUGUUGAAAAAUUAGCGGAUGACUUGUGGCUGGGGGUGAAAGGCCAAUCAAACCGGGAGAUAGCUGGUUCUCCCCGAAAGCUAUUUAGGUAGCGCCUCGUGAAUUCAUCUCCGGGGGUAGAGCACUGUUUCGGCAAGGGGGUCAUCCCGACUUACCAACCCGAUGCAAACUGCGAAUACCGGAGAAUGUUAUCACGGGAGACACACGGCGGGUGCUAACGUCCGUCGUGAAGAGGGAAACAACCCAGACCGCCAGCUAAGGUCCCAAAGUCAUGGUUAAGUGGGAAACGAUGUGGGAAGGCCCAGACAGCCAGGAUGUUGGCUUAGAAGCAGCCAUCAUUUAAAGAAAGCGUAAUAGCUCACUGGUCGAGUCGGCCUGCGCGGAAGAUGUAACGGGGCUAAACCAUGCACCGAAGCUGCGGCAGCGACACUAUGUGUUGUUGGGUAGGGGAGCGUUCUGUAAGCCUGUGAAGGUGUGCUGUGAGGCAUGCUGGAGGUAUCAGAAGUGCGAAUGCUGACAUAAGUAACGAUAAAGCGGGUGAAAAGCCCGCUCGCCGGAAGACCAAGGGUUCCUGUCCAACGUUAAUCGGGGCAGGGUGAGUCGACCCCUAAGGCGAGGCCGAAAGGCGUAGUCGAUGGGAAACAGGUUAAUAUUCCUGUACUUGGUGUUACUGCGAAGGGGGGACGGAGAAGGCUAUGUUGGCCGGGCGACGGUUGUCCCGGUUUAAGCGUGUAGGCUGGUUUUCCAGGCAAAUCCGGAAAAUCAAGGCUGAGGCGUGAUGACGAGGCACUACGGUGCUGAAGCAACAAAUGCCCUGCUUCCAGGAAAAGCCUCUAAGCAUCAGGUAACAUCAAAUCGUACCCCAAACCGACACAGGUGGUCAGGUAGAGAAUACCAAGGCGCUUGAGAGAACUCGGGUGAAGGAACUAGGCAAAAUGGUGCCGUAACUUCGGGAGAAGGCACGCUGAUAUGUAGGUGAAGCGACUUGCUCGUGGAGCUGAAAUCAGUCGAAGAUACCAGCUGGCUGCAACUGUUUAUUAAAAACACAGCACUGUGCAAACACGAAAGUGGACGUAUACGGUGUGACGCCUGCCCGGUGCCGGAAGGUUAAUUGAUGGGGUCAGCGCAAGCGAAGCUCUUGAUCGAAGCCCCGGUAAACGGCGGCCGUAACUAUAACGGUCCUAAGGUAGCGAAAUUCCUUGUCGGGUAAGUUCCGACCUGCACGAAUGGCGUAAUGAUGGCCAGGCUGUCUCCACCCGAGACUCAGUGAAAUUGAACUCGCUGUGAAGAUGCAGUGUACCCGCGGCAAGACGGAAAGACCCCGUGAACCUUUACUAUAGCUUGACACUGAACAUUGAGCCUUGAUGUGUAGGAUAGGUGGGAGGCUUUGAAGUGUGGACGCCAGUCUGCAUGGAGCCGACCUUGAAAUACCACCCUUUAAUGUUUGAUGUUCUAACGUUGACCCGUAAUCCGGGUUGCGGACAGUGUCUGGUGGGUAGUUUGACUGGGGCGGUCUCCUCCUAAAGAGUAACGGAGGAGCACGAAGGUUGGCUAAUCCUGGUCGGACAUCAGGAGGUUAGUGCAAUGGCAUAAGCCAGCUUGACUGCGAGCGUGACGGCGCGAGCAGGUGCGAAAGCAGGUCAUAGUGAUCCGGUGGUUCUGAAUGGAAGGGCCAUCGCUCAACGGAUAAAAGGUACUCCGGGGAUAACAGGCUGAUACCGCCCAAGAGUUCAUAUCGACGGCGGUGUUUGGCACCUCGAUGUCGGCUCAUCACAUCCUGGGGCUGAAGUAGGUCCCAAGGGUAUGGCUGUUCGCCAUUUAAAGUGGUACGCGAGCUGGGUUUAGAACGUCGUGAGACAGUUCGGUCCCUAUCUGCCGUGGGCGCUGGAGAACUGAGGGGGGCUGCUCCUAGUACGAGAGGACCGGAGUGGACGCAUCACUGGUGUUCGGGUUGUCAUGCCAAUGGCACUGCCCGGUAGCUAAAUGCGGAAGAGAUAAGUGCUGAAAGCAUCUAAGCACGAAACUUGCCCCGAGAUGAGUUCUCCCUGACUCCUUGAGAGUCCUGAAGGAACGUUGAAGACGACGACGUUGAUAGGCCGGGUGUGUAAGCGCAGCGAUGCGUUGAGCUAACCGGUACUAAUGAACCGUGAGGCUUAACCUUACAACGCCGAAGGUGUUU
This 2930-nucleotide ribosomal RNA is filed under the name Escherichia coli. RNAcentral's name for it is "23S ribosomal RNA". It matches the Rfam family "Bacterial large subunit ribosomal RNA". The record is from RNAcentral. Lineage: Bacteria; Pseudomonadati; Pseudomonadota; Gammaproteobacteria; Enterobacterales; Enterobacteriaceae.